Molecule: ribosomal RNA, 253 nt
Filed under: uncultured bacterium
Lineage: Bacteria
Description: partial 16S ribosomal RNA
Rfam family: Bacterial small subunit ribosomal RNA
Source: RNAcentral
UACGGGGGGGGCAAGCGUUGUUCGGAAUUACUGGGCGUAAAGGGUUUGUAGGUGGCCCGCUAAGUCACACGUGAAAUCCCUCAGCUUAACUGGGGAACUGCGUGUGAGACUGGCAGGCUCGAGGGCAGGAGAGGAACGCGGAAUUCCAGGUGUAGCGGUGAAAUUCGUAGAUAUUGGGAAGAACACCGGUGGCGAAGGCGGCAUCCUGGACCGAGAUUGACGCUGAGGCGCGAAAGCUAGGGUAGCAAACGGG